Molecule: ribosomal RNA, 371 nt
Filed under: uncultured organism
Description: bacterial SSU rRNA
Rfam family: Bacterial small subunit ribosomal RNA
Source: RNAcentral
CGAGGGGGGCAAAUGUUGUUCGGAAUCACUGGGCGUAAAGGGAGCGUAGGCGGGCUCUUAAGUUAGGUGUUUAAUCCCGGGGCCCAACCCCGGACAGGCACCUAAAACUGGGAGUCUUGAAUAGUGGAGAGGACGGCGGAAUUGGGGGUGUAGCGGUGGAAUGCGUAGAGAUCCCCAAGAACACCAGUUGCGAAGGCGGCCGUCUGGACACAUAUUGACGCUGAGGCUCGAAAGCAUGGGGAGCAAACAGGAUUAGAUACCCUGGUAGUCCAUGCUAUAAACGAUGAAUACUAGGUUUUGGGCCCGUCAACGGUCCAGAGCCGCAGCUAACGCGUUAAGUAUUCCGCCCGGGGAGUACGCUCGCAAGAGUG